AUCGCUUCUUGGCCUUUUGGCUAAGAUCAAGUGUAGUAAAAAUGAGAAUCCUUUGGGAAAAUUAUCAUAUUUUGUUCAAGACUUCAA
This is a non-coding RNA of Myotis lucifugus (little brown bat), 87 nucleotides long. The record is from Rfam. Lineage: Eukaryota; Metazoa; Chordata; Mammalia; Chiroptera; Vespertilionidae.